UGCUGCGACAUAACAAGUUUUCUUUUCUUUUCUUUUCUCUUUUCCCAUCAAUUUUAAAUUUUUUUGAAGAAGGGAAACAAACAACAACAGCCCAGAGAGAGAGAGAGAGAGACAGAGCUGAAAGAAAAAGAGAGAGAAGAGACAGAAUGGUCAUGAAGAAGAAGAUGGUUUGAAGAAGAACUGGGUUCCAUGGAUUGAUAAUGAAGAAGCAGAAGCAGCAGUUGAUGGCAUGCAAAGAGAAGUAGAGAAAAACUCAAAACAGAAAAGAAAAAGUUGCUUCUUGCUCUUCUCAGUUCUCAGCCCUCUUUUUCUCCCUUCCUUCCAAAUCUGAGAGAAAAACCUGUUCUUUCUUCAUCCUCUUCCGUGAAUCUUGGCUGUUUUUUACUUGGAGGAAGGAAAAAAAGAAGGGUUUUUGUUUAAUUUGGGUGUUGUUUAACUUCGAGCUCUAGGGAUGCCCUUCCAUCUGGAAGGGAAGGGGGGUUUAGAUACUGCUUCCAUUUUCUCACAGCAAGAAGCUUGGAAGCUGCAACAUCACAACAACAAGCAGGAAGUUAACAGCUUUACGGAGCCUAUUUC
RNAcentral lists this long non-coding RNA (576 nucleotides) under Linum usitatissimum (flax). Its description in RNAcentral is "long non-coding RNA (LUSI_LNC001874)". Lineage: Eukaryota; Viridiplantae; Streptophyta; Magnoliopsida; Malpighiales; Linaceae. The record is from RNAcentral.